Molecule: long non-coding RNA, 536 nt
Filed under: Manihot esculenta (cassava)
Lineage: Eukaryota; Viridiplantae; Streptophyta; Magnoliopsida; Malpighiales; Euphorbiaceae
Description: long non-coding RNA (MESC_LNC001927)
Source: RNAcentral
ACUUUAUUUACUUUUAUUAGGUGCUCUUCGUUUGUGAGUUUCUUUUUGCAGAACCCACCCUUUCGUGGCUUAUUUUCUUCCUUAUUUUACUGGGUUUGCCUUGGCCUCGAGCUUAUCCCUCUGGGAGCAAGCGAGCUCGUAUUUUAUCUUUUGCUUUUUCAGGUGUCUCGGAUUUGAUGUUGAGGUCAGACCCUUGACUUUGUUUUUAUCUUUGUGUUGAGGUUGUGGCUUCGCUCGUACAUUCGUACUUUCCUUUUACCCCAUUCUUUUGGGUGAGGAUAAAAUCAUAGCUUUUAUUUUGUCAUUUGACCCUUACUAGCUCGGUCCUUCUUUCAUUCGGUCCUUCCAAGCUCGGUCUUACGCAUCUCAGCUCGGUCACCUACCUCACUGAGGUCUUGCACAAGAUUCAGGCUCUUUAGCCUUAUUGUCGCUUCGUCAUCUCAACCGGUUCUUGAGAUGCCAAGUCAUUUUCUGAGCUCGGUCACCUACCUCACUGAGGUCUUGCACAAGAUUCAGGCUCUUUGGCCUUAUUGUCG